UGAAUCAGCGUGGCCCAGGAGGCUUCAAGAGUGGGAAGAAGUCAAGGAAGCUCACAGAGUAAGAGGGACCAUCUCCUCAUGAACGUCAAAUGGUACUACCGUCAAUCUGAGGUUCCAGAUUCUGUGUAUCAGCAUUUGGUUCAGGAUCGACAUAAUGAAAAUGACUCUGGAAGAGAACUUGUCAUUACAGACCCAGUUAUCAAGAACCGAGAGCUCUUCAUUUCUGAUUACGUUGACACUUACCAUGCUGCUGCCCUUAGAGGGAAGUGUAACAUCUCCCAUUUUUCUGACAUAUUUGCUGCUAGAGAGUUCAAAGCCCGAGUGGAUUCAUUUUUCUACAUAUUAGGAUAUAACC
Molecule: small RNA, 355 nt
Filed under: Pongo abelii (Sumatran orangutan)
Lineage: Eukaryota; Metazoa; Chordata; Mammalia; Primates; Hominidae
Description: processed transcript
Source: RNAcentral